CCUACGGGUGGCAGCAGUGAGGAAUAUUGGUCAAUGGACGAGAGUCUGAACCAGCCAAGUAGCGUGAAGGAUGACUGCCCUAUGGGUUGUAAACUUCUUUUAUAUGGGAAUAAAAUGUUCCACGUGUGUGAUUUUGUAUGUACCAUAUGAAUAAGGAUCGGAUAACUCCGUGCCAGCAGCCGCGGUAAUACGGAGGAUCCGAGCGUUAUCCGGAUUUAUUGGGUUUAAAGGGAGCGUAGGUGGAUUGUUAAGUCAGUUGUGAAAGUUUGCGGCUCAACCGUAAAAUUGCAGUUGAAACUGGCAGUCUUGAGUACAGUAGAGGUGGGCGGAAUGCGUGGUGUAGCGGUGAAAUGCUUAGAUAUCACGAAGAACUCCGAUUGCGAAGGCAGUUCACUGGACUGCAACUGACACUGAGGCUCGAAAGUGUGGGUAUCAAACAGGAUUAGAUACCCGAGUAGUC
Molecule: ribosomal RNA, 460 nt
Filed under: uncultured bacterium
Lineage: Bacteria
Description: partial 16S ribosomal RNA
Rfam family: Bacterial small subunit ribosomal RNA
Source: RNAcentral